AUGUGUGUACCCAAGAACCAAGGAGGAAUGGGUUUUCGGGAUAUCCAUUGUUUCAAUUUGGCUAUGCUUGCUAAACAGGCUUGGCGUCUUCUCGAGAAUCCGGAUUCUCUAUGUGCUACUAUUUUGAGAGUCAAAUACUAUCCUGACGGUGACUUGUUGAACACUGACCUGAAGAAGGGAUCUUCCUUCACCUGGCAAAGUAUUAUGGCGGGUGUGAGCUCCCUGAAGCGUGGUCAUAUUUGGCGAGUGGGAAACGGGCAGAAUAUUGACAUUUGGGAGGACGCAUGGAUUCCCAAUUGUGCAAACCGUAAAAUUGUUACCCCUAAGGGAGGCCAGUUGUCACGGAAGGUAGCAGAUUUGAUUGAUCCAAUCCUAAAUAGUUGGGAUGAAGAUCUUCUCAGACAGACUCUAUGGCCUAUUGAUGUUCAGCGGGUGCUUACGAUCCCGAUAUCGCAACAUGAUAUGCCAGAUUUCAUAGCUUGGAAUUUCAUAAAAAAUGGGAUUUUUUCGGUUCGGUCUGCUUAUUUUAUGGAAUGGGACCACCAAUAUGGGAACAAGUUACGACAUACCAAUGGGAUGGGACGUACCAUGGUCAAUCCUAUUUGGGCGAGGAUUUGGAAAGUCACGGCACUAUUCCGUGUCGUGUUAACUUAG
Molecule: ribosomal RNA, 654 nt
Filed under: Triticum aestivum (bread wheat)
Lineage: Eukaryota; Viridiplantae; Streptophyta; Magnoliopsida; Poales; Poaceae
Description: partial small subunit ribosomal RNA
Source: RNAcentral